CUUGAGCAACUAGUGCUUUUCCAAUGAGUCAAUAAUAAGUACAAACAAGGCUCCCAGAAACAUAGCCAUUCAGCUGUGGCUUUGUGCAAUCUAUGGACCCUUGGAAGGUGUUUGCGAUUUUUGUAAUUAAGGUGGAAGCUGCUGACAUAGUUGUGUGAGAUAUUGAAACAACUACUUAACCUGACAAUGCACAACACCAAACCUAAUGCACUGUGUUGAAAUGGCUUGGGUGAAGCCAGGGUUCUUUAUUUGUUCGGAAGGCUGGACUGGAUCAAACUGUCAGAUCUAUUACUUAAUGGCAAGG
Chiloscyllium plagiosum (whitespotted bambooshark) is the source of this 304-nucleotide non-coding RNA. Lineage: Eukaryota; Metazoa; Chordata; Chondrichthyes; Orectolobiformes; Hemiscylliidae. The record is from RefSeq and is a predicted model, not a curated record.